RNAcentral lists this ribosomal RNA (427 nucleotides) under uncultured bacterium. RNAcentral's name for it is "bacterial SSU rRNA". It matches the Rfam family "Bacterial small subunit ribosomal RNA", at positions 355 to 774 of the family's 1533-position model. The record is from RNAcentral.
UGGGGAAUUUUGGACAAUGGGGGCAACCCUGAUCCAGCAAUGCCGCGUGAGUGAAGAAGGCCUUCGGGUUGUAAAGCUCUUUUGUCAGGGAAGGAACGGUUCUGGAUAAUACCUAGAGCUAAUGACGGUACCUGAAGAAUAAGCACCGGCUAACUACGUGCCAGCAGCCGCGGUAAUACGUAGGGUGCGAGCGUUAAUCGGAAUUACUGGGCGUAAAGCGUGCGCAGGCGGUUAUAUAAGACAGAUGUGAAAUCCCCGGGCUCAACCUGGGAACUGCAUUUGUGACUGUAUAGCUAGAGUACGGCAGAGGGGGGUGGAAUUCCACGUGUAGCAGUGAAAUGCGUAGAGAUGUGGAGGAACACCAAUGGCGAAGGCAGCCCCCUGGGUCGAUACUGACGCUCAUGCACGAAAGCGUGGGUAGCAAACA